This 863-nucleotide ribosomal RNA is filed under the name uncultured Actinomycetes bacterium. RNAcentral's name for it is "bacterial SSU rRNA". It matches the Rfam family "Bacterial small subunit ribosomal RNA", at positions 35 to 916 of the family's 1533-position model. Lineage: Bacteria; Bacillati; Actinomycetota; Actinomycetes. The record is from RNAcentral.
GCAAUGCGGGGGCUUACCAUGCAGUCGAGCGAUGAAGCACCUUCGGGUGUGAAUUAGCGGCGAACGGGUGAGGAACACGUGAAGAGUCUGCCUUCAACUCUGGGAUAACUCCGGGAAACCGGGGCUAAUACCGGAUAUGAGCCUUGAUCGCAUGAUCGGGGCUGGAAAGUUUUUCGGUUGAAGAUGACUUCGCGGCCUAUCAGCUUGUUGGUGAGGUAAUGGCUCACCAAGGCGACGACGGGUAGCCGGCCUGAGAGGGCGACCGGCCACACUGGGACUGAGACACGGCCCAGACUCCUACGGGAGGCAGCAGUGGGGAAUAUUGGGCAAUGGAGGAAACUCUGACCCAGCGACGCCGCGUGAGGGAUGAAGGCCUUCGGGUUGUAAACCUCUUUCAGUAGGGAAGAAGCGAAAGUGACGGUACCUACAGAAGAAGCACCGGCUAACUGUGUGCCAGCAGCCGCGGUAAUACAUAGGGUGCAAGCGUUGUCCGGAAUUAUUGGGCGUAAAGAGCUCGUAGGUGGUUCGAUACGUCGGAUGUGAAAAUCAGGGGCUCAACCCCUGACCUGCAUCCGAUACGGUCGAGCUAGAGUUUGGUAGGGGAGACUGGAAUUCCUGGUGUAGCGGUGGAAUGCGCAGAUAUCAGGAGGAACACCGAUGGCGAAGGCAGGUCUCUGGGCCAAUACUGACACUGAGGAGCGAAAGCGUGGGGAGCGAACAGGAUUAGAUACCCUGGUAGUCCACGCCGUAAACGGUGGGCGCUAGUUGUGCGAACCUUCCACGGUUUGUGCGACGCAGCUAACGCAUUAAGCGCCCCGCCUGGGGAGUACGAUCGCAAGAUUAAAACUCAAAGGAAUUGACGG